This is a non-coding RNA of Pelobates cultripes (western spadefoot toad), 210 nucleotides long. The record is from the annotation of a GenBank genome assembly. Lineage: Eukaryota; Metazoa; Chordata; Amphibia; Anura; Pelobatidae.
AACAACCUUACGUCUAGUCGUUCCUGCGCACAAAAGUUUAAGACCAAACGGAGCGAUGAAAAGUGUUCAGCAGAGUCCAGUCUGUUCCAUCAAGUAGGCUAUGAGCCAGUUGUGUCUACUUACUGCCACCGUUCUGACAGUAAGAUGGGCAAAAUCCCACACCAGAUCUCUUCAGUUGCUAAAUCCUACUGUUUUUGGAAAAAGCACUGC